Molecule: long non-coding RNA, 922 nt
Filed under: Scophthalmus maximus (turbot)
Lineage: Eukaryota; Metazoa; Chordata; Actinopteri; Pleuronectiformes; Scophthalmidae
Description: lncRNA (ENSSMAG00000022549.1)
Source: RNAcentral
UUUCCCCUACUUUGAUAGGAACGUGUGACGGAGGGAGGCCGGUCCUCGGCCGCGUCGGAGGAGGCGGGCCCGUCCUCCUUCAGCCCGUGGAGUUCAGGCAGCGGCAGGGGGAACCUCAUGAGGCAGACCUCCCACCAUCGAUGAUGGAGGAGUAUCUUCAGUCGUACAGGGCCCACCACGAGGGCCUAGACCCGACCCCCAAAAUGUCGGAAAACGCCGUCUCCAAGGUCAGCAGGGUGAAGACAUUCAUCCUAUACAUGGCCAACAACCGGAGCCGCUUGUCUGACUGGCUGUUUUUGGACGACAUGUCCAGGAUCCUUGGGUGAGUGACAAUGUCAUUACAAUUUCGUUUGUACAUUGAAAGAUUUCCGCUCUCUCUUCAAAUAGUUGGGCCCGCAGUGUGGUGGAAGGCGGGAUGACCAUUGCCACUGCAAAGUUUUAUCUGCAGAAUGCCCUGCAUUUUGCGAGGUUCAUGGUCGGGAUCCCCCCAAAGACAUGCCGCCUCACUCGGGUGCAGUUCGCCUCCAUCGAGAGGGAACUGAAGACGGGGGUGAGGUCGCUGCAGCGCAGGGUGGUGGUCCACCAGAUGUCCACCAAGCGGCUAAAAAUAAGUAAGCUGCCGUCCCGCCAGGCCCUGAGGGGUUGCCUCUCUGCCGCUGCCGUCGCCAUCCCACAGCUACUGGGCGAACUCGAGGCCAAAUUCGACAACGCCACCCGCUUCCUCUACUACGGCUACCAGUGCGCAUAUUGGAGCUGCCUGUUCAGGCACAGGCCGGGGGUCUAUGCCAACAUGACGGACAACGAGGUGGAGGAGGCAAAGACCCUCGGCCAGGAUCGGGGCUACCUGCUUCACGUGAGUGCUAUUUCUGACACUGUUAGCUUUGAAGUUAGCCCUGAUGUCUACUGCGGUGCGUGUACUUGA